UACGGGGGGAGCAAGCGUUGUUCGGAUUUACUGGGCGUAAAGCGCGCGUAGGCGGCUUUGCAAGUCGGGUGUGAAAUCCCCAGGCUUAACCUGGGAACUGCAUUCGAGACUGCAUUGCUAGAGUAUGGGAGAGGGAAGUGGAAUUUCCGGUGUAGCGGUGAAAUGCGUAGAUAUCGGAAGGAACAUCAGUGGCGAAAGCGACUUCCUGGACCAAUACUGACGCUCAUGUGCGAAAGCGUGGGGAGCAAACAGG
RNAcentral lists this ribosomal RNA (253 nucleotides) under uncultured bacterium. RNAcentral describes it as "partial 16S ribosomal RNA". It matches the Rfam family "Bacterial small subunit ribosomal RNA", at positions 524 to 776 of the family's 1533-position model. The record is from RNAcentral.